Canis lupus familiaris (dog) is the source of this 1809-nucleotide long non-coding RNA. RefSeq lists it as uncharacterized. The record is from RefSeq and is a predicted model, not a curated record. NCBI's taxonomy places the organism in Eukaryota, Metazoa, Chordata, Mammalia, Carnivora, Canidae. The transcript is spliced from 4 exons.
UUCUGAAAACAACCUUGGAGUAUCUUCUUCAUCUUCCCUGAGAGACUGAAUGGCUCUAGGCUCCAGGAGGAAAGAUGUUCCACCGCAGAGACUGAGAAGGAAAGAUGUACUGGACAAAAGAUGGGGAGACAAGGCAGACAAAAGUCAGCUUGUGGGACUAGUAAACUCUUCACAUUGUGUUUGAAUAUCAUGAUAUUGAUACCAUGAUACACCUACGUAGAUAUACAACAUAAACAGAUGCCAGUAUGGCAAGGUGGGGAUGCAGAAGGGAAGUAUAAACACCUCAAGGAAGGGUCACUAAUAUCCACUGAGAGCCUAUUAUAUUUUAUAAAUGCUAUCUCUGAUAGUCCUAAUAACCAUUUAAUGGUAGUAUUUGUUCCACUUUACAGUUGGAGGAAUUGUGGCUUAAAAGAGUCUAAGAGACAAAUCUGAGAUCACAUCGUGAUUUACUGCACACAUAGAGUCCCUUCCUUAGUUUUCAAAAUAAUGAAAAUUGCAGUUCUAUGCAUAAACGGCCCAUAGCAGAGAAAGCUGCACUCAGUCAAAAAGUUUUCUGGCUUCCCUUGUUAUAAUAAGUUGAUUGUUGGCUUCUAAGCACACCUUACCCAAAGGCCUAAAACAGCUACCACCACCUAGCUUUCCCCCACUUCUUUUCCAGAAAUAAAGGAAACAUACAGAAGUCCAAUUCAGAAAGUACCGAAAUCAAACAUCCAAUGAACUUUGUUCCCUGAUUUUCCAAAGCCAGAACCCAGUCAAUACAUGAACAAAACGAGAAGUUCAACAAAGAGAUAGAAAUCAUUAAAAAGAACCAAACAGAAAUUCUAGAGCUGAAGAAGAAUAGGAAGACUGAACUGAAAAUUUCAAUAGAGAGCUUCAACAGCAGACUCAAUCAAGCAGAAUAAAGAAUCAGCACACUCAAAGACAUGUCAUUUGAAAUUAUCCAGUUGGAGGAACAACAACAACAAAAACCCAAAAACCACAAAAUAGAAAAGAAAGAGUGAAGAAAGCCUAUGGGAUGUAUGGCAUAUCUUUAUGAAAAUGAAUAUAUGCAUUGUGGAAGUCUCAGUAGGAAAAGAAAGGGAAAGGGGCAGAAAAAUUAUUUAAAGAAAUAUGGCUCAAAACUUCCUACUCAUCAAUGGAUGGGUAAGGAAAAUGUGGUAUAUAUGUACAAUGGAGUAUUAUUCAGCCUUUAAAAAGAAAAAAAUCCUGCCAUUUGCAAUAACAUGGAUGAAUCUUGAGGACAUGCUAAAAAACAAACCAGGAAACAGACUUCAGGAGAGUAUGAACUAAGAAAAUUGCAUGCAGCUUCACUAUUUUUUCUCAGGGUUCCAGAGGAAACCUCUGAUUGAACAGAUAACAUAACAUUGCCUUUGACUGAAUUAGGAUAGGUUUUUAUACCUUGGCUUAUCAUGCUACUCUCACAGAGACUGAGCUCUUCCUGGAGAGACAGAAAACCCAGUCAGGGCCAGACUUCCUGCCAAGCCCCAAGCUGCCUAUGCAACAAGAUGUUAAUUGGGACUUACUAUCUUGGAACGCCCCUAAGACAAAAGAUGUUACCUUCAUAUUCUAAAAAGAGGAGGUAGGCCAUCUAACUGAGACUUACAGAUAACAACUGGUCCAGAGACCUUUGCUCCCAACACCCCAAGAUGUCAACAAUUUGAAAGGAAAUUCAUAGAAGGGAAUUCAAAGGUUUGGUGCAUUUGCUUUUCUACUCCUCUGUCUGUGAGGAAGUAAGUACACACCUCUCCACCAUGCCAAUUCAGACGCUAUUUAAACAGGUAUAGGAUUACUUUUUUUCUCAAAUAACAG